Molecule: long non-coding RNA, 930 nt
Organism: Triticum dicoccoides
Lineage: Eukaryota; Viridiplantae; Streptophyta; Magnoliopsida; Poales; Poaceae
Exons: 3
Source: RefSeq, a predicted model, not a curated record
UAUAGUUCCACUCACCCAAACAAAUAACCCCCUUCAUCAUCAGCCGUGGCAAAGCUACCAUACACAUCUCGCUCUGAGCGGUCAUGGCGCUGUGCCGCUGCUAGCCCAGCGUUCGUGGGGGGUCGCCGCCUAAGACGUGCAUGUUGUUGCCGACCCAGGGCCCUCCGAUCACCGCAAUUGAUUUGAGCCCGCAAUCUGUUGCCGGUGAAUCAAUCCCCGCAGACACCGCUGGCCCAAUUCUCGUGCCCCGGUGUCGACCAUAGCUCCAGGCAAGCCACACGUCUCACUGCUGUCGUCCUCCUCCAACAUCUCCUGCACCAAAAGGUCGGUGAUCUCCUUCUCUAUCUCCCCAAAUCUAAGCGAUCUCAGGUUUAUUUGGGUUGGAACUUUGAAGCUCUGAUUUAUAUGUGGAGGAAGCAUCUUUUAGAAGCGAGAUCUGUUCUGUUUCCAGCCGCCUCAUCCGUGCAGCAGUCCGGAAUAAACAGAUGGAACAACGUUGAUUUAAAGCGAUGGAUCGUAGUCAUCUCUCUUCGUUUUGUUUUAUGUAAGGCGCUGAUUGGACGGAAUAAAAAGGCAGUUAUUUUUUUGCCGGGAUGCACUUGAAGCUGAAUUAUGUGCAUGCAUGGAAGGUUUAUCUUUCUCCAUCCAGAGAAGUGAGUUACCAGUGCAGAUCGACAUGGAUUCUAUAAUUGCAGUGAAAUUGAUCCAGGCUUCAGAGGUUGACAGAUCGGUAUAUUCGUCUAUCAUCAAGGAGAUUAGAUAUCUUAUGUCUCUACGUGAAAAUUGUAUUACUCAUGUAAGUCGUAGCCAAAAUAAAGUUAGUGAUAGCUUAGCUAAAUUUGCUCGUAGUGAGGGUAGAACCAUGACUUGGCUAGGUUCUGGUCCUCCUGAGGCUUUGGAACUAGCUGCGAUUGAUUGUAAGGACUUUGG